This 88-nucleotide transfer RNA is filed under the name Colletotrichum chlorophyti. It matches the Rfam family "tRNA". From Rfam's summary of the family: Transfer RNA (tRNA) molecules are approximately 80 nucleotides in length. Their secondary structure includes four short double-helical elements and three loops (D, anti-codon, and T loops). Further hydrogen bonds mediate the characteristic L-shaped molecular structure. tRNAs have two regions of fundamental functional importance: the anti-codon, which is responsible for specific mRNA codon recognition, and the 3' end, to which the tRNAs corresponding amino acid is attached (by aminoacyl-tRNA synthetases). tRNAs cope with the degeneracy of the genetic code in two manners: having more than one tRNA (with a specific anti-codon) for a particular amino acid; and 'wobble' base-pairing, i.e. permitting non-standard base-pairing at the 3rd anti-codon position. Lineage: Eukaryota; Fungi; Ascomycota; Sordariomycetes; Glomerellales; Glomerellaceae. RNAcentral also lists the same sequence under 1 other name. The record is from Rfam by way of RNAcentral.
UCCGAUAUGGUGUAGUGGCCAACAUGAUGCCCUCUCAUCUCAGAUGCGAGGUUAGGCAUAGCCCCGAGUUCGAUUCUCGGUUUCGGAA